GCGAUGGUGCUAUAGUGGUGAGCAUAGCUGCCUUCCAAGCAGUUGACCCGGGUUCGAUUCCCGGCCAUCGCA
This 72-nucleotide transfer RNA is filed under the name Penaeus chinensis. Its description in RNAcentral is "tRNA-Gly". It matches the Rfam family "tRNA". Rfam says of the family: Transfer RNA (tRNA) molecules are approximately 80 nucleotides in length. The record is from RNAcentral. Lineage: Eukaryota; Metazoa; Arthropoda; Malacostraca; Decapoda; Penaeidae.